UACAAAUUGUAAUGAUUUGGGUGAACAUUAAGUAAAAUUUAUAUCAUUUUGUUAGAUUUAUUGUGUUUUUGAAUAUUCUUACUCAAUUUGGUAUUCCUUUAACUAUUAAAUUUAUUUUUUCUGCAAGAAAUUAAAUAUCUUUAUUACAAAUGAUUUUAUCUGUCAGAAGAUUGUAAUUGCUAACAACAUUAAUUAGCUAAGCAUUCUAAAUUGCUAAAUCUGGGCAUUCUAAACCUGUUUUGGUUUCCAUCCUCGGCAAAGCAUUGCCAAACAAGUGUUGAUUGAGUGGGACAUCAAUCAUCAAAGGACAAUGCACACGACACCAAGAGGUCCAUCUAUCUAUAAAAACAAUAUAUAUAUAUAUAAAAACACAUUGGAGAUGAUAGUUAGGGUUGCCAUGUAUUGCCACUAGGAUUGAAUUCCUUUGUGUUGUUUUGUGUGUUGUUGAGUCCUUUUGGCGAGCAUGAUGUGGUUUAGGUAGGGAAGAGUGCUAGGUCAAUCACCAAAGGCAUGGGCUCGUUGAUUGAUCCAUCCAUCACUCUCUACAACAAAUAGUUUUUUUUUUUUUUUUUUUUUAUUAUUAUUCUUUCUUUCUAGAUUUGACAAUAGUUGUGCGUUUUGUUUUGUUUUUUGUUUUUUGUUUUAUUUUUAUUUUUUUAAAUAUUACAUAAAGGGCUUGAGAAUGGGAUGGGGUUAGAAGUGCCAAUAGGUGGAAGCCAUUUGUGGUCC
This 729-nucleotide long non-coding RNA is filed under the name Physcomitrium patens. RNAcentral describes it as "long non-coding RNA (PPAT_LNC012051)". Lineage: Eukaryota; Viridiplantae; Streptophyta; Bryopsida; Funariales; Funariaceae. The record is from RNAcentral.